RNAcentral lists this ribosomal RNA (500 nucleotides) under uncultured Myrionecta. RNAcentral describes it as "bacterial SSU rRNA". It matches the Rfam family "Eukaryotic small subunit ribosomal RNA", at positions 1214 to 1799 of the family's 1831-position model. The record is from RNAcentral. Lineage: Eukaryota; Ciliophora; Litostomatea; Cyclotrichida; Mesodiniidae.
CUUACCAGGUCAAGACAUGGGCGUGAUUGACAGGCUAAUGACUUUUCUCGAUUCCAUGGAUGGUGGUGCAUGGUCGCACUUAGUUGGUGCAGUGAUUUGUCAGGUUUAUUCCGGUAACGAACGAGACCUCGGCCUUGUAAAUAGCUAUGCUGCUUACAGGGACAUUGGCGGCUACGCCAAGGAAGCUCGAGGCAAUUGCAGAUCUGGAAUGCCCUUAGAUGUCCUGGGUCGCACGCGUGCUACAAUGACGCCACGAACGAGCUUGCGUGAUGAAAGUUACGCAUAAUCAGCAGUCGGCGUCUUAAGGGAUAGUCUCUUGUAACUGUGGGACUCCAACUAGGAAUGUCUCGUAAGCACAAGUCAACAUCUUGUGUUGAUUACGUCCCUGCUCUUUGUACACACCGCCCGUCGCUCCUACCGAUCGAGUGUUUAGGUGAAUUUGAUGGACGUAAGGAAGUCAAAUAAACCUGAGCACUAGAGGAAGGAGAAGUCGAACCUGA